CCAAAAUUAAAAAAAAAAAAGGCAAAAUGAAUAAGGCGUGAUUGAAUAGUUCAACAAAGUACAAGGACUAUGUGCGCAAAAUUGACCAUUCAAGGUCAAAAGCGCGGAUCCGGGUCGCAAAAUGGGUUAGUGCCCGGAUCCACUUCCCCAUGACCGGCGCCGUUUAGUGUUCUGCAUAAAACAAGUUAAAAAAAACCUAAAACUAACAUUUAUUACUUAAAAACAAAUCAAAACAAAAAAACUAAAGCUUAUUCCCCUUCUUCAUUCGGUCGAUCCCCAAGAAAAACACUCCUGCCCAUUUUGCCUUCAUAUUUAGCUGACCGAUGCUACACACCAUAUCAGCGAUCUACAUGCUUGCCGUUCGACUACUUUUCUGCCUCAGAUUCCCUCUAUGCUUUGAUUUCGACAAAGCAGAAGGAAUCCACGGCAUUUGGUACAAAGGUCGUGGUGUUGCUGAUGCGGUGGAGCUAUUCGUAGGAGCUACAGUAGAGGCUUCCAGAAGCUUCAACCUGCUUGGGCCCUGUGAGCUUACCCCGUAGUCAAGUUGCUGGGGUUUGGAGGCUAUUGUGGCGCGAGGAAGGUUCAGAAACCCUUAGGGUUUCUGAAAGAAUUUAGAUAUCGGGCCCUUUUGGGUUAAUUUUACUUGGGCCAAAAGUUUAGGUUUGGGCCGUUAUUUUUGGGCCUUUGUACUUAGGCUAAUUGAUCUGGACUUAUUUAGGUUUUAAAUUAACCCAGGCUCUUUGGCGUUUAUUGGGCCAUAAAUGUAAAUGGACUGGGACUAUUAAGA
Long non-coding RNA from Gossypium arboreum, 787 nucleotides. RefSeq lists it as uncharacterized. The record is from RefSeq and is a predicted model, not a curated record. NCBI's taxonomy places the organism in Eukaryota, Viridiplantae, Streptophyta, Magnoliopsida, Malvales, Malvaceae. The transcript has 2 exons.